Long non-coding RNA from Oncorhynchus keta (chum salmon), 362 nucleotides. RefSeq lists it as uncharacterized. The record is from RefSeq and is a predicted model, not a curated record. The transcript is spliced from 3 exons. NCBI's taxonomy places the organism in Eukaryota, Metazoa, Chordata, Actinopteri, Salmoniformes, Salmonidae.
GUUAGAGAGUCGCACGCCUCAAACGUGUCACCAAGGGCGAUCGAGGACCGUGCCACCUGGUGCCGGCAGAGCGGUUUGGCAGUGUGUGUGAGGAGUUGAGACAGGCCUUACAGAGAGAGGAGCAGGCUCAGGGUCUCCUGAGACAACAGUCUGACCAGCUACACACACUGGGGUUACGCAUGGACACACAUUGUGGAGAAGAGAGAGAGAGAGAACACACACUCUCACAGGCCGUACAGAGUCUGUCGGAAGCUCGUCAGGAGGUGCGUCAGAAGGAGCAGUCUCUAAGGGUUCUGGGUAAACACCUGUCGGGCCUACAGCAGGAGAAGAAGAGUCUGGAGGAGAGUGUCAGACACGCGGGA